UAAAGAGUCAUGGAGGUAGAGCACUGUUUGGACUAGGGGCCCUUCUCGGGUUACCGAAUUCAGAUAAACUCCGAAUGCCAUGUACUUAUACUCGGGAGUCAGACUGCGAGUGAUAAGAUCCGUAGUCGAAAGGGAAACAGCCCAGACCACCAGUUAAGGUCCCCAAAUAUAUGUUAAGUGGAAAAGGAUGUGGGGUUGCUUAGACAACCAGGAUGUUGGCUUAGAAGCAGCCACCAUUGAAAGAGUGCGUAAUAGCUCACUGGUCGAGUGACCCCGCGCCGAAAAUGUACCGGGGCUAAACAUAUUACCGAAACUGUGGAUGAACCUCUUUAGAGGUUCGUGGUAGGAGAGCGUUCUAAGGGCGGUGAAGUCAGACCGGAAGGACUGGUGGAGCGCUUAGAAGUGAGAAUGCCGGUAUGAGUAGCGAAAGAAGGGUGAGAAUCCCUUCCACCGAAUAUCUAAGGUUUCCUGAGGAAGGCUCGUCCGCUCAGGGUUAGUCGGGACCUAAGCCGAGGCCGAUAGGCGUAGGCGAUGGACAACAGGUAGAGAUUCCUGUACCAGUGCUAAUUGUUUAACCGAUGGGGUGACACAGAAGGAUAGGGAAUCGCACGAAUGGAAAUGUGCGUCCAAGCAGUGAGUGUGAGAAGUAGGCAAAUCCGCUUCUCGCGAAGCAUGAGCUGUGAUGGGGAAGGAAAUUAAGUACGGAAGUUCCUGAUUUCACGCUGUCAAGAAAAGCCUCUAGGAAGAGUAGUACUGCCCGUACCGCAAACCGACACAGGUAGAUGAGGAGAGAAUCCUAAGGUGAGCGAGAGAACUCUCGUUAAGGAACUCGGCAAAAUGACCCCGUAACUUCGGGAGAAGGGGUGCUCUAUUAGGGUGCAAGCCCGAGAGAGCCGCAGUGAAUAGGCCCAGGCGACUGUUUAGCAAAAACACAGGUCUCUGCAAAACCGUAAGGUGACGUAUAGGGGCUGACGCCUGCCCGGUGCUGGAAGGUUAAGAGGAGUGCUUAGCUUCGGCGAAGGUACGAAUUGAAGCCCCAGUAAACGGCGGCCGUAACUAUAACGGUCCUAAGGUAGCGAAAUUCCUUGUCGGGUAAGUUCCGACCCGCACGAAAGGCGCAACGAUCUGGGCACUGUCUCAACGAGAGACUCGGUGAAAUUAUAGUACCUGUGAAGAUGCAGGUUACCCGCGACAGGACGGAAAGACCCCGUGGAGCUUUACUGCAACCUGAUAUGGAAUGUUUGUACCGCUUGUACAGGAUAGGUAGGAGCCGAAGAGACGUGUGCGCUAGCAUACGAGGAGGCAAUGGUGGGAUACUACCCUGGCUGUAUGACCAUUCUAACCCGCCACGCUUAGCGCGUGGGGAGACAGUGUCAGGUGGGCAGUUUGACUGGGGCGGUCGCCUCCUAAAGAGUAACGGAGGCGCCCAAAGGUUCCCUCAGAAUGGAUGGAAAUCAUUCGCAGAGUGUAAAGGCACAAGGGAGCUUGACUGCGAGACUGACAAGUCGAGCAGGGACGAAAGUCGGGCUUAGUGAUCCGGUGGUUCCGCAUGGAAGGGCCAUCGCUCAACGGAUAAAAGCUACCCCGGGGAUAACAGGCUUAUCUCCCCCAAGAGUCCACAUCGACGGGGAGGUUUGGCACCUCGAUGUCGGCUCGUCGCAUCCUGGGGCUGUAGUCGGUCCCAAGGGUUGGGCUGUUCGCCCAUUAAAGCGGCACGCGAGCUGGGUUCAGAACGUCGUGAGACAGUUCGGUCCCUAUCCGUCGCGGGCGCAGGAAAUUUGAGAGGAGCUGUCCUUAGUACGAGAGGACCGGGAUGGACACACCGCUGGUGUACCAGUUGUUCCGCCAGGAGCAUCGCUGGGUAGCUAUGUGUGGCAGGGAUAAACGCUGAAAGCAUCUAAGCGUGAAGCCCCCCUCAAGAUGAGAUUUCCCAUUUCUUCGGAAAGUAAGAUCCCUGAAAGAUGAUCAGGUAGAUAGGUUUGGAGUGGAAGUGUAGCGAUACAUGGAGCGGACAAAUACUAAUCGAUCGAGGACUUAACCAAAA
Molecule: ribosomal RNA, 2044 nt
Filed under: Listeria monocytogenes
Lineage: Bacteria; Bacillati; Bacillota; Bacilli; Caryophanales; Listeriaceae
Description: partial 23S ribosomal RNA
Rfam family: Bacterial large subunit ribosomal RNA
Source: RNAcentral